This 481-nucleotide ribosomal RNA is filed under the name uncultured bacterium. Its description in RNAcentral is "partial 16S ribosomal RNA". It matches the Rfam family "Bacterial small subunit ribosomal RNA", at positions 28 to 507 of the family's 1533-position model. The record is from RNAcentral.
GAUGAACGCUGGCGGCGUGCUUAACACAUGCAAGUCGAACGAAGCAUUUAGAACAGAUUACUUCGGUUUGAAGUUCUUUAUGACUGAGUGGCGGACGGGUGAGUAACGCGUGGGUAACCUGCCUUGUACUGGGGGAUAGCAGCUGGAAACGGCUGGUAAUACCGCAUAAGCGCACAAUGUUGCAUGACAUGGUGUGAAAAACUCCGGUGGUAUAAGAUGGACCCGCGUCUGAUUAGCUAGUUGGUGAGAUAACAGCCCACCAAGGCGACGAUCAGUAGCCGACCUGAGAGGGUGACCGGCCACAUUGGGACUGAGACACGGCCCAGACUCCUACGGGAGGCAGCAGUGGGGAAUAUUGCACAAUGGAGGAAACUCUGAUGCAGCGACGCCGCGUGAGUGAAGAAGUAAUGCGUUAUGUAAAGCUCUAUCAGCAGGGAAGAUAGUGACGGUACCUGACUAAGAAGCUCCGGCUAAAUACGUG